Molecule: non-coding RNA, 72 nt
Organism: Podarcis lilfordi (Lilford's wall lizard)
Lineage: Eukaryota; Metazoa; Chordata; Lepidosauria; Squamata; Lacertidae
Source: the annotation of a GenBank genome assembly
GGAAGGGCUGUAGUUCAGUGGUAGAGCAUCUGGUUCACAUGCAGAUCACAGGUUCUAUCUCUGGCAUUUCCA